Molecule: non-coding RNA, 168 nt
Filed under: Bos taurus (domestic cattle)
Lineage: Eukaryota; Metazoa; Chordata; Mammalia; Artiodactyla; Bovidae
Also listed under: 3 other names
Description: ODC internal ribosome entry site (IRES)
Rfam family: ODC internal ribosome entry site (IRES)
Source: Rfam by way of RNAcentral
AUUUCCACUGCUGCACAGAGAGCACACGCAUCUUCGGUGGACUUGGAAUUCCUGGGGAAUUGCCUUUGUGAAAAGUUGGCAUAAUCCCUUUAAAUUCCAUCUCUUUUACGUUUUCUAUGUAAGUAUUUGUGAUUGUUACAAGUUUAUCUUAGGAGUUACUAAGUAUUA